RNAcentral lists this long non-coding RNA (1539 nucleotides) under Gossypium barbadense (sea-island cotton). RNAcentral describes it as "long non-coding RNA (GBAR_LNC023334)". Lineage: Eukaryota; Viridiplantae; Streptophyta; Magnoliopsida; Malvales; Malvaceae. The record is from RNAcentral.
ACCGUAAAUGAUAUUUGUUAAAUUCAUUAAGUUCUGCUAUCUCCAAAAUUUGGUGCGACAAACAUAUUAUCAUUUGUGUAAUGUGAUAUCGACUUUAUAAGGCCCAAUUUUGGCCCGGGCCUAAAAAAUAAAAACUAUUCCAGUCCAUUUACAGCAAACUUAAACCCAAAAUUACAAUGGCCCGAACGACCCAAUAAAAAAAACCCUAGUGGCUCGACUGGCCCACAACUUAAACAAUUUCAGCCAAGAGCAAACCCUAAAGCGCUGCACGCCUCUGUCCAAUGCCCAGUGCCGCAUGUUCUGCCGCCUCUGCCACUCCUCACGCACGCCGUUACUCGCCUAUCACUGACCAUCAGCCUCUGACACCUGCAAGGCAGUAAACCACACGCAACAGCAGAACAGGCUAAACAACAAAACGACAAAAAAUAGAAAUUUAGGGGUUUUUAAAUCGGCUAUAAAGGCCAAAAUCUUAACAUUGUAUUCUUCGUCUGCCAUUUUUUUACGAAUUUCAGAAAUAGAAACAAAGGUUGCUGUCUUCUCCGAUUCUUUUUUUUUAAUUAUUUACUUAUUUUAUUUAUCAUUUUUUUAAAAAUCUGAUUUUAAAACUAGUACUAAAAGAAAGGACAAAAAGGGAAGGGAAACUCACUGGAGUUGGCCGUGACUGUGCUGCCAGAGGCUCUCUCCUCCAUCGUUGAGUCGGGUCUGCCAAGGUCGAGGGUCCCCCUUUUGUUUCACUCCUCGCGGGUUGAGAGAGCCUGGUUCUCAAGGACCCCACAAAAGGGGUUCAAUGGCCUUUCAUUUCCGGCGCCGACCUCUGGCUACGAGGUGGCGCGACGGAGACCUAAGAAGGUCGUCGGCCGAAUAUGAGGGAUGGGGGUUGAGAGAGACUUAGGGAGACUUUCAGUUUUUUUGAAAAAAAUAAGGGAUGAAUUUUUUUUUGUUGAUUUUUUGAGUGUUUAUAUGGUUUAAAAACGGCGUCGUUUUGGACCUUAGCAUCCAUGGCCAAAACAGCACCGUUUGGCAUAAAACCUAGGAGCCGAUCCGAGACCCGACCCGAAUACGGUCAGGAUCCGCGUGUUAUGCCUGGAGGGGCUAUUUGCGCGUUCAGCCCCUCCUCUUUUAUAGUUCAGUGCAAUCUGUCCCUUUUGUUUCUUUCAUUUUGGCCCAUAAAUUUUUUUCUGAUUUCAUUUUAAUCCUUGCUGAAGUGCUGCGUUUCAGAACUAGGGAAUAUUUCCCUGGAAGUCCCUUGCUCCUUCAGCGCAUUUUGUUUUAGUCCCGAGUCACCCUCUUUAAGUUAUUUUUAUUUGACCCCAAAUUUUAGUUUAGUUUCUAAUUUAAUCCUCUAUUUGUUGUUUUAGUUAUUUUAUCAUUAAAUUAAUUAUUUUGAUAUUAUUAAUACUAUUGUAUGGCAUCAUUGAUUUUGUAUUUUAAUUCAUUGUUAUUAUUAUUCACUCAUUUACAUCCUUAAUUCCAAAUUUUGUUAUAUAUUCAUACAUUUUCUAAUAUAUACAUAUAUACACGUGCAUUUCAUGAUUCAUU